This 159-nucleotide ribosomal RNA is filed under the name Cestrum nocturnum. RNAcentral describes it as "5.8S ribosomal RNA". The stretch from base 1 to 138 matches the Rfam family "5.8S ribosomal RNA", at positions 19 to 154 of the family's 154-position model. From Rfam's summary of the family: 5.8S ribosomal RNA (5.8S rRNA) is a component of the large subunit of the eukaryotic ribosome. It is transcribed by RNA polymerase I as part of the 45S precursor that also contains 18S and 28S rRNA. Lineage: Eukaryota; Viridiplantae; Streptophyta; Magnoliopsida; Solanales; Solanaceae. The record is from RNAcentral.
UCUCGGCUCUCGCAUCGAUGAAGAACGUAGCGAAAUGCGAUACUUGGUGUGAAUUGCAGAAUCCCGUGAACCAUCGAGUCUUUGAACGCAAGUUGCGCCCGAAGCCACUAGGCUGAGGGCACGUCUGCCUGGGCGUCACACAUCAGGUCGCCCCCGCAC